AAACAAAAAUUAUUUUGGCAGUAAAGUUGGAAUAAUACAGAGAAGAUUAGCAUGCGCCCUGUGCAAGAAUGACAUGCAAAUUCAUGAUGCAUUCCAUUAUCUU
This is a non-coding RNA of Octopus bimaculoides (California two-spot octopus), 103 nucleotides long. The record is from Rfam. NCBI's taxonomy places the organism in Eukaryota, Metazoa, Mollusca, Cephalopoda, Octopoda, Octopodidae.